RNAcentral lists this long non-coding RNA (522 nucleotides) under Homo sapiens (human). Its description in RNAcentral is "non-protein coding lnc-CRLF3-4:2". Lineage: Eukaryota; Metazoa; Chordata; Mammalia; Primates; Hominidae. The record is from RNAcentral.
CAAAUCAGUUACCCGCAGUUACUUCUGGGUCCACUGUCACGUUUGACAUUGAAGCCGUGACUCUAGGAACCACCAGUAAUAAUGAAGGUGGACACUUCAAGCUUCGAUCGCUCUGUCACCCAGGCUAGAGUGCAGUGACACAAUCAUAGCUCACUACAGCCUCAGACUCCUGGGCUCAAGAGAUCCUCCCACCUUGGUCUUCCAAAGUACUAAGAUUACAAGUGUGAGCCACUGCACUCAGCCCUCUGUGAGAUUUUAAAAACAAUUUUUACACAUCUAACAUGCAGAUUUUGGCUUAAAAAUACUAUUCUUCUAUAAGGAAUCAGGACUCCUUGAAGAAAUCACAACUUCAGAGCAGAGGAACGAGGUCUUGCUAUGUUGUCCAAACUGGUCUCAAACUCCUGGGCUCAAAGUCUUCGCACCUUGGACUCCCAAAGUGUUAGGGUUACAGGUUGUGAGACUUUGGAGGACAGGACUGAAUGCUUUAAUCAUCUUCGAUUAAAUUAAAUCAUCCCCAGCACC